GAUGAACGCUGGCGGCGUGCUUAACACAUGCAAGUCGAACGGUGAACCCGGAGCUUGCUCUGUGGGAUCAGUGGCGAACGGGUGAGUAACACGUGAGCAACCUGCCCCUGACUCUGGGAUAAGCGCUGGAAACGGCGUCUAAUACUGGAUAUGUGACGUGACCGCAUGGUCUGCGUUUGGAAAGAUUUUUCGGUUGGGGAUGGGCUCGCGGCCUAUCAGCUUGUUGGUGAGGUAAUGGCUCACCAAGGCGUCGACGGGUAGCCGGCCUGAGAGGGUGACCGGCCACACUGGGAUUGAGACACGGCCCAGACUCCUACGGGAGGCAGCAGUGGGGAAUAUUGCACAAGGGGCGAAAGCCUGAUGCAGCAACGCCGCGUGAGGGAUGACGGCCUUCGGGUUGUAAACCUUUUUUAGCAGGGAAGAAGCGAAAGUGACGGUACCUGCAGAAAAAGCGCCGGCUAACUACGU
Molecule: ribosomal RNA, 468 nt
Filed under: uncultured bacterium
Lineage: Bacteria
Description: partial 16S ribosomal RNA
Rfam family: Bacterial small subunit ribosomal RNA
Source: RNAcentral